Molecule: ribosomal RNA, 497 nt
Filed under: uncultured bacterium
Lineage: Bacteria
Description: partial 16S ribosomal RNA
Rfam family: Bacterial small subunit ribosomal RNA
Source: RNAcentral
GAUGAACGCUGGCGGCGUGCCUAAUACAUGCCAGUCGAGCGAACAGACGAGGAGCUUGCUCCUCUGACGUUAGCGGCGGACGGGUGAGUAACACGUGGAUAACCUACCUAUAAGACUGGGAUAACUUCGGGAAACCGGAGCUAAUACCGGAUAAUAUCUUGAACCGCAUGGUUCAAUAGUGAAAGACGGUUUUGCUGUCACUUAUAGAUGGAUCCGCGCCGCAUUAGCUAGUUGGUAAGGUAACGGCUUACCAAGGCAACGAUGCGUAGCCGACCUGAGAGGGUGAUCGGCCACACUGGAACUGAGACACGGUCCAGACUCCUACGGGAGGCAGCAGUAGGGAAUCUUCCGCAAUGGGCGAAAGCCUGACGGAGCAACGCCGCGUGAGUGAUGAAGGUCUUCGGAUCGUAAAACUCUGUUAUUAGGGAAGAACAAAUGUGUAAGUAACUAUGCACGUCUUGACGGUACCUAAUCAGAAAGCCACGGCUAACUACGUG